GCGCCAUUAGUUCAUCGGUAGAAUACGACCUUCCCAAGGUUGAGAGGUGGGUUCGAUUCCCAUAUGGCGCU
Molecule: transfer RNA, 71 nt
Filed under: Lachnospiraceae bacterium
Lineage: Bacteria; Bacillati; Bacillota; Clostridia; Lachnospirales; Lachnospiraceae
Also listed under: 1 other name
Description: tRNA-Gly
Rfam family: tRNA
About the family: Transfer RNA (tRNA) molecules are approximately 80 nucleotides in length.
Source: RNAcentral